CGUAGGUUGCGAGCGUUGUCCGGAUUUACUGGGCGUAAAGCGCGCGCAGGCGGUCCUGUAAGUCUGCGGUGAAAGCUCCCGGCCCAACUGGGAGAGGCCCGCGGAAACUACAGGACUUGAAGGCGGGAGAGGCAAAUGGAAUUUCCGGUGUAGCGGUAAAAUGCGUAGAUACCGGAAGGAACACCAGUGGCGAAAGCGAUUUGCUGGCCCGCCCUUGACGCUCAGGCGCGAAAGCUAGGGGAGCGACCGGGAUUAGAUACCCCGUUAGUCCUAGCCGUAAACGAUGGUCACUAGGUGUUGUCGGUAUCGACCCCGGCAGUGCCGUAGCCAACGCAUUAAGUGACCCGCCUGGGGAGUACGACCGCAAGGUUA
Molecule: ribosomal RNA, 372 nt
Filed under: uncultured organism
Description: bacterial SSU rRNA
Rfam family: Bacterial small subunit ribosomal RNA
Source: RNAcentral